This 254-nucleotide ribosomal RNA is filed under the name uncultured bacterium. RNAcentral's name for it is "partial 16S ribosomal RNA". It matches the Rfam family "Bacterial small subunit ribosomal RNA", at positions 524 to 777 of the family's 1533-position model. The record is from RNAcentral.
UACAGAGGGUGCGAGCGUUGUCCGGAAUCACUGGGCGUAAAGGGUGCGUAGGCGGGUUUUUAAGUCAGAGGUGAAAUCCUGGAGCUCAACUCCAGAACUGCCUUUGAUACUGAAAGUCUUGAGUACGAAAGAGGAUCGCGGAAUUCCCGGUGUAGAGGUGAAAUUCGUAGAUAUCGGGAGGAACACCGGGUGGCGAAGGCGGCGAUCUGGGUCGAUACUGACGCUGAGUGCGAAAGCGUGGGGAGCAAACAGGG